GGCAGUGGGUGUAUGUGCCUUGUUCCUUGAGGGCUUGAUGCCAUAUUGACUUUAUGCAUAAAUCUAAGUCAUUUCAUGCCUACAUGAGUCAAGUUCUUGUUGGUUUCCUUGGCAGAUUAAGAUUUCUAGGGUGAAAACGCUCGCACGGGCCCAUGAACCUUAAUUUAGGCACACUUGGGUGUGUGAGUCCCGAUGCCAAAUGGUUUUUUUUUUUUUAUGUUUUUGAGUCCUCUAGAAGUGUCAUGGGGCCCUCAAGAAGGAUGUCUUAACUCAUUUGACAUUUAUAAGUCUUGGUCAAAGUCAUAAGGUUGACUUUUUUGAAUUUUUGAAAAUCUUGUAUAACAUUCGCCCCCCCAAAAGUGUUUGUCAAAAACUUUUGGGAAAAACUUUUGUUAUUGUACCCUUCUUGUCUUGAAAAUAAUAAGCAUGUCGCCUUUUGCUUAUUUUGUUGUCUCUUAGAGUACUCGGUUGAGACUGUCGUCAUUGAGAGUCAGUUCUAUUUUCUAAGCGACUUAUCUCGAAAUUUGUGGAAUUUAAACUUUAUUACGUGAAAUAAAUUUAAUUUGUCUAAGGAAAAUAAAUUUCCAUUUUUUCACAUAAUUAAAUGUUAAAAUCAUAAAUUUUACCAACACAAAUAACAAGUGUCACAAGGAGAUGAGUACCAAUGGCACCUACAAUAAAUAACAUGUGCCAAAUAGGCCAAGGGCAUUUUUGGAAACCCUUGGCCAAAUGAAAGGCAUAGCCAUAAGUCUUAUUUUCUUUAUAAAUGCAAUCCCCUCCCACUUUUCAAAACACUUCAUCACUUUUUUAAACUUUCACUCACUAACACUCAAGAACACCAUCCCACCAUUCAAUUCUCAAAGGGACGGCUAGGGAUUCUCAAGCACUAGCAAAGAUAAAAAAAAAUUCCCUUUCACUUUUUUUUAUUAUUUUUUCGUUUUAUCUUCUCAUCCACUCAUUAACUUUAAAAAUUACAAAACCCCUAGAAAUCCACAUUGUGGCCAUGGCUCUUGCUUGGUGAAAGGAAAAAGGGCUUUUCAAAAUUUCUUCAAGGUUUUUUGGAAAUUCAAGCAAUUUUUGAGGUAAUUUUUAAUUUGUAAUUGGUUUUGGCAUUAAUUACAUGGAUGAAAUGAUUGUGGAUAUAGAAAUUAGGAUUGAAUUUGUGUUUUCUUGAAUAUGUUUAGAUAUAUGUUGUGGGAAUAAUGUUUGGAUAGGUUUUGAAUUUAUUGUGACAUUGGUGAUGAAAAUUGACUAAUUGGGAGUUGAAGUAGCAAAUUUGGGCAAGAAGUGCAAACUUUUGGUAUAAGUUUGGACUAUGGAAAAUAGGUCCCACCAAGCGUUUGAUGAAAUUCCCAAGUGAGAAAAAUAUGUGUUUUUUGUCACUUUGGGUGCUCGGAUGCAUGUGAUUUUCACAAAUACUUUAUUAGAUUACUUGUGUCGUUGAAUUGUCUUUGUCUCGAUCUGGCAUGUCCCCAUGUGGGAGUUCUUGUGGCCGAGAGCUUCAAAUGAUUAAGUCUCUUUAUCAUUGCUUUAAACACAUAGUCCCUCGUGAUGGACCAUAGCCACGUCAUCAUUAGUGCUAAUGGUCAUCUCCAUAGGCGCCCCAUUGUACCACGUAAGUGGAGGUUGCAUGUUGUCCGAAAUAAGGUCACAUCGGUGACUUUUUCUAUUUUUUUAUGACUUUAGGACUACACAUGGGCUCCACCAAAUACAAUUAAGAUACUUUUCUUUUUUAUAUAUAUAUAUAUAUAUAGGCCACGUCACUUUUCUCAAGAGAAAUAAGUAACCCCUUGCCAUAAUUUCUUCCUCAGGUUCUAACUUCCUUUUUGUUUUUGUUAAUUUUUCAAGAACAAAAAGAGAGUUGUGGGAUCCAAAACUAUAUCAUCAUGUAACAAUCUGGCGAAUAUAGAGGAAUCUACUCAUUCACCCUCUACUAGUACCUGUAAACCCCCUCCGCGGUCUAGGACCAAAUCUGUGGGGGUGUAUUUCGAGGCGAGCUGUAUCACUUCUUCUUUCGGAAGCAUGUUCCAAGUUAGUGAUUGCCUUAGAGUUCACGAGCUCAACCUCGGUGUUGGACGACUAAGAAGAGUCUUGACUCCCACCGAGUGCAGCUAUUCUCCUCCUCAUGAGAGCAUGUACGCGUGGGGCACUUCCUUGCUUAUGGCGAGGGGUGCACUCACAUUAGCCUCUGAUUAUUGGGACAUCCAUGGAGCCUUGGGUCUUACUCCCUUCUAGCUAUCCUCUAAUAGCUAUCGGAUCUUGGCUGGGCUUAAGUCCCUCUAUCAUAUUAGAUCUUGGAGACCCGACACCUGCGGAGGUGUUGUACAUGUACUAGCCGAGGGCCAAUCCUUUUGGGAAGGGGAAACAUAGCGAUAGAUUCUAUUAUCUGAAUUGUGUGACCACUCCAAUAAUUCUUCAAGGUCUCCUCGAUAAACCACCUGAUAAGAAAAAUGAGUUCUUCUGGGUAUGGGGCCAAUCUGACAGGGGCAACCAUGACUUCAAGCGCACAGGUACAAAUAUUGCACUUUGGCUCCAUUUAAUGAUUGUUAUUCAUUAUAUAUAUAUUUUUUUUCGAAAGUGUUGACUUGCAUUUUCGUCUUUCUAGGGGCCAUUCACAUCCAACCAUUGGACUGGUUGAAUGAGAGGGUGAGUCUUCUCCAAAGUGUUGACAUGCGCAAGCGAAACCUUCGCUUUCUUCUUCAUGACGAACACCUCAGGCCGUGCGGUCCAUUAAAAGAUAUGGGGAAGAUUGUGGAUGUUUUCCUUGAGAAAGUUGUCAAUUAAGAAGGUUUUCCUGACUCGACUCUCCCUUCUCAAAAAUAGUGAGCUAAAUUGGUGUUGACUAUGACAGCCCCGUCCAAAAUUUCUACCCCGAACAUAAUGGGUAUGAGACCAGUAAUCCGGGGGGUAAAGUGUGUGAAUUUUACCUUAGGCUUUUAAGUAGAGCUGGGUGGUUCCCCUUCAUACCCAUGAUGAGUAUGAAUAUUCAUUGCCUAUGUAUAAGGAAGUAGAUGGGAAAGUCCAUAGAUGGGACCAUUGGUUGAUGAGUGGGGAACUGCUUUAUGUGAGUAGCCCCACCUUGAAAGUACUGUACGCAUCGGGGUUGGAUCAAUAUGGCUCCAACCUUAUGUCUGAAAAAGAUAAUACUUUAGUUCUCCCCAUGGAGAGAGUGCAUAUAGUUUUAGGACAAGGUAUUUUCUUUAUUUCCUUGCUUGACUUUCUUGACUUGACUUGGAUAUAUGCUUGUGGUUGCACUUUGUCUUUAUGUUGUUUCCCAUAAUUAUGUCUUGCAGUAUACUUGUUGCGUAAUAAUUCUUGUGAUGGCUGACAUGUAUAUUUCCCUUUGAUUUUUUAGGUACCAUGGACGUUUUAGCAGCCUCUGUCAAAUAAGCAUCUAAAAGGCAAAGGGUGAACAAAAAGGCCAUGCCUCCUCCUCAAGCCAACGAGACUCCCUUAGCGGCAGCCGCCCCAACUCAAGGAGUCCCACUAGGUGCUACCGUUGCACCUUCACAAGAGGUUCCCACAUCCACAGGCUUCUCUCCUAUGGUUGCUUCACCUUCGGGCUUGGCUCUGUCCAGCUUGCCACCUUUGACGGCUGUAGUAGCACUACCUGCGAUGCCAUCUGUUUUUCUAGUGGCCCCUCCUUUUGGUCAACCUCGGCACCCAGUCAUGGGGCCGCCAUCUUGAUUUGCUUCUGAGCAAUUUUUUUUCAAUCAGUUGGCCCAGGGACUUGCAUUCCAGGGAGAGGCUUCUGAUCCUAUAUUGCCCAAAGCAAGCAAGUUCUGAAAAGUAUUAGCUCGAGAAUUUCAUCUUUACACACCUCAACUAGGGGGGCUUUCGACAGUGAUCUGGUCCCAAUAAAUAAUUUGGCGCAACGACGCCUCGACUCCCUUGCUAUGUUCCUCUUUGAUGACUUCGGCCUUUACCAGAGGACCAAUGCCUCCCAUAACAUAUAUCCAAAGAAGUGUAAGGACCUCGAGAAACGCAAUGUGGAAGCCACUUUGACAAUUAAGGAGCUUGAGGAGAAGCUUGCUUCUUUUGAGAGGAAGUUGGAGGAAGCAAAUGCCAAAUAAAAAGUUGUUGAGGAAGAGGCCAAAACCAAGAAUCAUGAGCAUGGUUCGUUGAAUGCCAAGUUUGUUAAAUUGGAGGCUGAGUCGAAGGUUAUGACUGACAACCACACCGCAACCAUGGAUAAGCUGGAGUCGGAGAAUGUAAGGACCAUUGAGCAGAUAAAAAUAUAUCACAAGGCAGAAGUUGCUCGUAUUGAAGAGCUUGCCAAGGAGAACAUUUUUGGGAUAUCUUACUUGUGUUGGUGCCGAAAAUAGGACAUGGACUUCAGCUUCAUGGGCGAGAUUUUGGGUGAUUUUCAAGAGCAUUGUCGCAAGGCCCAAGCGAUCGCAACCACCAUCGAGGUCACUGCAGCGGAAGCCAAGGAGAAAGGAGAAGAGGUCACUUCUGAACCAGCCCCAGAGUCUUGAGGAGAGGAGUUACACAAGGGUGCUGGCAUGUUGGCGGUGCUCUCCCUUGUGGUGGCGUUCCAUGUGAGAGCUGCCAUGUGUUAGUGCUCUCCAUGAUUGACUUUAGGCUUUUUAUUAGUUUUACAGUACUCCAUGCGAGAGCUGCCUUGUGGCAAUGCUCUCCAUGGACUAAUUUUAUGCACUUUCUUAUUUGUAUGAGAACAUAUUUGUGUUUAUGUCUCCUUGUGCCACAUACAUUUAUUUUGGUUAUGUAUUGAUAUUUGGGUCCAUAUGGAUGGGUUCACUCA
Cannabis sativa is the source of this 4765-nucleotide long non-coding RNA. RefSeq lists it as uncharacterized. The record is from RefSeq and is a predicted model, not a curated record. The transcript is spliced from 2 exons. Lineage: Eukaryota; Viridiplantae; Streptophyta; Magnoliopsida; Rosales; Cannabaceae.